RNAcentral lists this ribosomal RNA (730 nucleotides) under uncultured bacterium. Its description in RNAcentral is "partial 16S ribosomal RNA". The record is from RNAcentral.
GGUUACCUUGUUACGACUUCACCCCAGUCAUGAAUCACAAAGUGGUAAGCGCCCUCCCGAAGGUUAAGCUACCUACUUCUUUUGCAACCCACUCCCAUGGUGUGACGGGCGGUGUGUACAAGGCCCGGGAACGUAUUCACCGUGGCAUUCUGAUCCACGAUUACUAGCGAUUCCGACUUCACGGAGUCGAGUUGCAGACUCCGAUCCGGACUACGACGCACUUUGUGAGGUCCGCUUGCUCUCGCGAGGUCGCUUCUCUUUGUAUGCGCCAUUGUAGCACGUGUGUAGCCCUACUCGUAAGGGCCAUGAUGACUUGACGUCAUCCCCACCUUCCUCCGGUUUAUCACCGGCAGUCUCCUUUGAGUUCCCGACCGAACCGCUGGCAACAAAGGAUAAGGGUUGCGCUCGUUGCGGGACUUAACCCAACAUUUCACAACACGAGCUGACGACAGCCAUGCAGCACCUGUCUCAGCGUUCCCGAAGGCACCAAUCCAUCUCUGGAAAGUUCGCUGGAUGUCAAGAGUAGGUAAGGUUCUUCGCGUUGCAUCGAAUUAAACCACAUGCUCCACCGCUUGUGCGGGCCCCCGUCAAUUCAUUUGAGUUUUAACCUUGCGGCCGUACUCCCCAGGCGGUCGACUUAACGCGUUAGCUCCGGAAGCCACUCCUCAAGGGAACAACCUCCAAGUCGACAUCGUUUACGGCGUGGACUACCAGGGUAUCUAAUCCUGUU